CGAAAGCCUGACGGAGCAACGCCGCGUGAGGGAUGAAGGCCUCUGGGCUGUAAACCUCUUUUAUCAAGGAAGAAGAUCUGACGGUACUUGAGGAAUAAGCCACGGCUAAUUCCGUGCCAGCAGCCGCGGUAAUACGGGAGUGGCAAGCGUUAUCCGGAAUUAUUGGGCGUAAAGCGUCCGCAGGCGGCCUUGUAAGUCUGYUGUCAAAGAGUGGAGCUCAACUCCAUAUAGGCAGUGGAAACUGUAAGGCUUGAGUGUGGUAGGGGCAGAGGGAAUUCCCGGUGUAGCGGUGAAAUGCGUAGAUAUCGGGAAGAACA
This 317-nucleotide ribosomal RNA is filed under the name uncultured bacterium. RNAcentral's name for it is "bacterial SSU rRNA". It matches the Rfam family "Bacterial small subunit ribosomal RNA", at positions 376 to 708 of the family's 1533-position model. The record is from RNAcentral.